Molecule: transfer RNA, 67 nt
Filed under: Elateroidea sp. 10 KM-2017
Lineage: Eukaryota; Metazoa; Arthropoda; Insecta; Coleoptera
Description: tRNA-Arg
Source: RNAcentral
AAAUAAGAAACAAUGAAUUGUAAUUAGUUUCGACCUAAUCUUUAGAUGAUAUUAUCAUCCUUAUUUU